CUGGAGUGCAGAGGCACCAUCUCUGCUCACUGCAACCUCCACCUGCCAGGUUCAAGCGAUUCUCCUGCCUCAACCUCCUGAGCAGCUGAGAUUACAGGUGCACGCCACUACCCCCAGAACUACAUGAGGCCUGGAGAAGACAAGCACGUGAGAAGGCAGGCCCUGUCCAGGGUGCCCCACAGCGAGGCAAUGGCAAAGGAGCAUAAAGAGUGAAUUAGAACAUACAGCUGUGCAAAGGCGGAGGAAGGAUGAUUCCCAUGUCCAGCAGCCACCCCCGACAAUACCAAGGAUCAGGAGUUAAUGUGCUUUGGCCUAAAGCUCCUGAAUAUAUCGCCUGCUUCCAGCUGUUCAGGGACAGGUGGCCCAAACUGGGAAACAUACACAGAUGUAAAUGAAAACAAAACACAUAAUGGGAAAUGGGCCAGAUUAUUUUCCUCAACUGUUAUGGGAGUUCCUCCAUAAGUGAGUGAGGCCAAAGACCUGGUCUAACAUUCAUCAGUUAAUGUGUCAAGUAAUGUUUUCAUUAUGGAAUGUAUGAUGUAGUUUUCACCAACUGGAUUAGCGUUUUGCUCAAAAAAACAUCUUUUUUUUGUACUUCAGGCUUAAUGAUUUAAUGAGAGUUACUUAACUGUGUUUUUCAGAGAGGGCUGAACUUUUCUUUACCCUCCCAACUGAACUCUUGACCAGCUUUUCUGAAAACUGAGGAGGUUGGAAAAUUAACAGGAGAAAAUAUAAAAGCAAAUCACUAUUGUUGUAGUCCUAAAUUAGCUGCUUAAACAACAACUCCGUAAGUUUCCUGUGAAUAAGUGGCUAGAUUCUUAGAGUGACUGGAUCUGCCACUUUUCUUUCCUUUUCUUUUCUUUUAUUUUGAGACGGAGUCUCGCUCUGUUGCCCAGGCUGUACGGCAGUGGUGCAACCUCAGCUCACUGCAACCUCUGCCUCCCAGGUUCAAGUGAUUACUCCCAUCUCAACCUCCCAAGUAGCUGGGACUACAGGUGUGCACCACCACACCCGGCAAUUUUUUGUAUUUUUAAUACAGAUGAGGUUUCACCAUGUUGGCCAGGCUGGUCUCGAACUCCUGACCUCAAGCGACCCACCUGCCUCAGCCUCCCAAAGUGCUGGGAUUACCCACACCUGGCCUGGAUCUGCCACGUUUCAAUAUCUUUGCAGUUCCUGCCAGCUUCUGCUCAAAUAUAAGGAGUUAGGUGGUGCUUGUUGCCCCGAGGCCUGUCGUACUGCUGAUUGACCCAAUUGUUGGGCAGUGCUUUCUUAUACCGAAGUACAAUCUGCCACUUUUUUUUUUUUUUUUUUUUUUUUUUGAGAUGGAGUCUUGCUCAGUCGCCCAAGCUGGAGUGCAGUGGCGUGAUCUCCACUCACUACGAGCUCCACCUCCCGGGUUCACACCAUUCUCCUGCCUCAGCCUCCCGAGUAGCUGGGACUACAGGCACCCACCACCAUGCCUGGCUAAUUUUUUUGUAUUUUUAGUAGAGACGGGGUUGAAUCUGCCACCUUUUAACUUGUUCCCAUUGUUAUGUGUCCUUACGAAAUUGCACAAACCAGUUUGCAAUUGCCUCUUUCCCCUUACAGUCCUUCUCCCAACUAGAGAUGGCCAUCCCAACCUGCCUUGGCUUCUUUUCUUCAGGCCCAUCACCUCUAAUUCUCUCUAGCCUUCAUCACGGAAUAGCAUAGUUCUGUCCAUUAUCUUGGUUGUCUCCCUUUGGGCACGUACUAGUCUGUCAGUAUAAUGUUUAAAAUAUGGUGCUCAGAAAUGACAACAAUGCUCCUGGCACCACCAGGCCAGUAGAACAGAUAAUGGGACAGUAACUGCCCUUAACCUGGGCACAGCACCCCCCUACUCCAGCCUGUUCAGGCGUCGCUUCUUUGGCAGCCCUGCCACACUGCUGGCUCACUGAAGCCUGCACGCAAUGAAAAUCCUCAGAUUUUUCUCACAAGAGCUGUGCCAAGUUAUUACUCCCACCCCGUAUUUAUGCAAGGGAUUUAAAAAACCCAAUUGCAAAACUUUACUUUUAACCUGUUAACAUUUCAUCUCCUUGUUUCCAGCCUGCAUGACAGCCUAUUGGGAUAUCUUGUUCUGUCUUUAUCAUAUUAGCUUACGGCUUUGUAAUAUCUGCAAAUUUGGGAAGCAUGUUUCUCCAACUCCAUCUAAAGUGUUGAUGAAAAUAUUGGAUGGCACAUUUGGAUCUCUCUGUGGGAAUGUACCAGGAACCACCUCUUGGCUAACAUAGAGACAUCUAUCAGUAGUUGUUUAAACAGCUGGGAAUCUAAAUAUCCACGUCUUCCCCGUACUCCAGUGAACAUGUUUCUUGAUUGCAGAGACCAGUGUUCCCCCAUGGGAUCCCCUAUGCACCAAAUAACCCAAAGGACCCUUGUUAUGAGGGGCUUCCUGGUUAAACCAAUACCAUCUAACUUUCAGCUUCAAGGCUACCUUGGAACUGUGGUUUUUGUUGAAUGCUGCUACAAACAUGCUUCCCAAAAGGUCUAAGAAACUUGCCACAUAGUGUUGUCUUGAGCACUAGGAGUCCCUCAAGAAUUGGGAAGCCAGGUGGUCACGUGGAGAUCUACCACUUUAUUCCAUGGUUGGUGGCUGCAGGUGUGGGGAGUGGAGGGGAGCUUAUAAAACAGGCAUGACCAUCCAGUGUCCAGAUCUUGGUUUCUAAUACCAUUCUCUAGUAAAGGAAUCAGUGCUCCCUAGAUAAAUAGCUGAUUCUAGGACUGGGGCAGAGAAUACAUAAGAUGAGCCUGAAAUAUUUUGCAGUGCCAGAAAGUAAGGAAUGCUUUUAAAAACUCUACAGUAUUGGCCUAUGUCAAAGGGACACAGGAGCCACUGAGAGAUCUUCUAGUGACCAAAGCUGGAACAAUUUGAACCACAAAAUAAAGUAGUGUUGGACUAUCCCCAAAAGUAUAAAUAUCCAUGAGUCCAUGCUGAUAUAAAUAAAUGGUCGAAUGAAUGAAUAAACGUAAGACAACAGACAAAUCUCCAGUGCAGAAGAAUUCCAAUGAUUUGUGGAGAUACUCUGUCCUCGAGGAGGAAGAGCAUAGCUCCCUACUCCUUAAGUAGGUUGCACAUAGUGACUUCCUUCCGUAGAGCACAGUAGAAGAAGGAGGAAAAAGAGUAACUUGAUGAUAUAACAGUCUGACAAACACUGCUUCAGCCAGGUGACCAAGACUGACAUUAACAGGGAUAAGUCGUGUUAAUAAUAUGUACCCCUGAUAGGAUGUGAUGAGAGUGGCACUUGACUUCUCUGGUGUUUUCGGAACCUAUAAACCCAGUCUAAUCAUGAGAAGAAUAUCAGAUCAAUUUGAAUUGAUGGACAUUCUACAAAAUAAGGAAGGCCUGAGAAACUGUCGCAGCCAAGAGGAGCCUCAGGAAAUAAGAUGACUAAAUAUAAUGUGUUCUGAAUGGACUCCUGGAACAGAAAAAGGACAUUAGGUAAAAAUUAAGGAAAUCUGACUAAAUUUGUUAGCAAUAAUGUAUCAAUAUUCAUGCAUAGUGACAAAUGUUAUUAAAUUAAUAUAAGGUGUUAAUAAUAGAAGAAACUGGAUAUGGGGUUUAUUUUCUCUGUUCUCUCUUUACAACUUCACAAAUAUAUUCUAAAAUAAAAAGCUUAUUUUUAAAAAGGUAUGUUGUGGGGGCUGGGCGUCGUGGCUCACACCUGUAAUCUUAGCAAUCUGAGAGGCUGAGGUGGGCGGAUCACUUGAGAUCAGGAGUUUG
This 3733-nucleotide long non-coding RNA is filed under the name Homo sapiens (human). RNAcentral describes it as "HSALNT0127169". Lineage: Eukaryota; Metazoa; Chordata; Mammalia; Primates; Hominidae. The record is from RNAcentral.